AUGAACGCUGGCGGCGUGCUUAACACAUGCCAGUCGCACGGAAAGGCUCCUGCUUGCAGGGGUACUCGAGUGGCGAACGGGUGAGUAACACGUGGGUGAUCUGCCCUGCACUUCGGGAUAAGCCUGGGAAACUGGGUCUAAUACCGGAUAGGACGAUGGUUUGGAUGCCAUUGUGGAAAGUUUUUCGGUGUGGGAUGAGCUCGCGGCCUAUCAGCUUGUUGGUGGGGUAAUGGCCUACCAAGGCGUCGACGGGUAGCCGGCCUGAGAGGGUGUACGGCCACAUUGGGACUGAGAUACGGCCCAGACUCCUACGGGAGGCAGCAGUGGGGAAUAUUGCACAAUGGGCGCAAGCCUGAUGCAGCGACGCCGCGUGGGGGAUGACGGCCUUCGGGUUGUAAACUCCUUUCGCUAGGGACGAAGCGCAAGUGACGGUACCUGGAGAAGAAGCACCGGCUAACUACGUG
Molecule: ribosomal RNA, 464 nt
Filed under: uncultured bacterium
Lineage: Bacteria
Description: partial 16S ribosomal RNA
Rfam family: Bacterial small subunit ribosomal RNA
Source: RNAcentral